CACGCCUGUAAUCUCAGUACUUUGGGAGGCUGAGGUGGGCAGAUCACAAGGUCAGGAGAUCAAGACCAUCCUGGCCAACAUGGUGAAACCCCAUCUCUACUAAAAAUACAAAAAUUAGCUUGGCGUGGUGGCACAUGCCUGUAAUCCCAGCUACAGGGGGCAGGCUGAGGCAGGAGAAUCGCUUGAACCAGGGAGGCAGAGGUUGCAGUGAGCCAAGAUUGUGCCACUGCACUCCAUCCUGACAAUAGAGCUAGACUCUGUCAAAAAAAGAAAAAAAAGAAAAGAAAAGGAAGGAGGGAGAAAAGAGAAAAGGGAACACAGGAAGAAAGAAAGAGAGAGGAAGGAAGGAAGGAAGGAAGGAAGGGAAGGAAGGAGAGGGAAGGGAACGGAAAGGGGGAAGGAAGGAAGGAGAAGAGGGGGAGGGAAGGGGUAAGGAAGGAAGGAAGGAAGGAGAGAAGAAAAGAAAAAGAAAGGAAGGAAGGAGAAAGAAAAAGGAACACAUUGGUUCACAAAACAGUAUUCUACAAUGUUGAUGUGGUGGCUUCAGGCACAGCUGGAUCUAGAGGUUUAUAUGUCAUCCUCGAACUUGAUCAUUAUCUUCGUUCCUUGCUCUUUUUGUUUAUGUACCACUUCCCUCUCAGCAUCUCUCUCCAUAAGGCUGUGAAAAGGCCACUGUCAGCUCCAAGACCACAUCAUCUUUAUAGUUUGUGAACCUGGAGAAAGAGCACUUUCCCCAAAGGCCUUGGUGAAAGUCCCAUGGAGGAAUGCAACUGGCCUGGCUUGGAUCAUGUGCCCAUCUCUGAAUCAACUGCUGUAGCUGGGGUUGGCAAACUCUGAUUAGCCAGCCUUGGGCCACAUAACCACCCCUGGGAGGGACACAGGGAAGACAGGGCUAACCCUUCUCCAAAUAUGGACUGAGCAGCAUUUAUUACACAAUGUGAGAAGGCCUGUUUGCUAGACAGACCAACAAAAAUCAAGCCUAUACUGCAGUGUAAAGUUUGCUUCAUGUUGUGUAGUUCAGGGUCGUAGCCAUUUUUUUUGUUGUUGUUUCAUUGAUGAAAUUUACUUCUCUGUUUUUCAUUCUUUGCUGCUUUCAUUGGAUUACUGGAGAAUGCCUUUGUGCCUUUAACCAGAAGCCCUCUUUUCUUAUUUUUGAUUCCAACAAUACUAAGAGCACUCAAUAGUUUAUUAGUAAGGCUUUCAAGCCUUAGUCAUCAUUCCACAAUCUACAGUGAGGGCUAGAAGGAGAUGGGAGUAAAAGAGCAGAGUUAUUUCCAUUUUAUACAUUAGAAAACUGAGCCCCUGAAAGUGUUAAGAUACUUGCCAAAUACAGCUAAAUCAAGUGGCUGAGAGAGAACCAAACCUAAAUCCAGAGAUUCUGGCUCCUCAGGAAGAGUCCCUGACUCUCCAUAACAACUGGCUGUUCUUGGGCUUUCCUCCUAAAGAUCACAUUUCCAAACCAUGAUAGUUUGAACAUUUACACGGAAAGCCUUAACAGAUUUUUAAAGCAGGUAAAGAGAUUCAUCUGCUUUGAAAGAGAUUCCAUGGAUGGAUGGAUGGAUGGAUGGAUGGGUGGACGAACAGGUGGGUGAAUAGACAGAUGGAUGACUGCGUGGGUGGGUGGGUGGGUGGACGGAUGGAUAGAUGGGUAGAUGGGUGGGUGGAUAGGUUAAUGAAUAGAUGGAUGAAUAGAUAAAUGGGUGGAUGGAUGGGGGAUGGGUGAAUGGGUGCAUGGAUAGGUGGAUGGGUAGACGAAUGGGUAGAUGGGUAUAUGGAUGGAUGAAUGGAUGGGUGGAUAGGUGGAUGGGUAGGUGCUAGCUGCAUGGGUAGACGGAUGGGUAGAUAUAUGGAUGGGUGGAUGGGUAGAUGGAUGGAUAGAUGGAUGGAUGAAUGGAUGGGUGGAUAGGUGGAUGGAUGGGUGAAUGGGUGGAUGGAUGGGGAGAUAUAUGGAUGGGUGGAUGGGCAGAUAGAUGGAUGGGUGGAUAGGUGGGUGGAUGGGUGAAUGGGUGGAUAGAUGGGUAGAUAUAUAGAUGAGCGGAUGGAUGGAUGGAUGGAUGAAUGGAUGGGUGGAUGACAGAUGGGUGGGUAGGUAGAUGGAUGGGUGGAUGGAUGGGCAGAUGAGUGGAUGAGUAGAUGGGUGAAUGGGUAGAUGGAUAGGUGGAUGGGUAUGUGGAUGGAUGGAUGAAUGGACAGUUGGAUGGGUGGAUGAAUGGGUGUGUGGGUGGAUGUAUGGGUAGAUAUGUCGAUGGGUGGAUAGGUAGAUGGGUGAAUGGGUGGAUGGAUGGAUGGAGCAUACACACAUUUUGUUAAUGGCAGCUGCAUUACUUUCAAUCCAUAUAGUAAUACAAAGCAAGUGAUGGUGAAGUAUUCCUGAGGAGCAAGUCUGCCGGACCUUAAAUGAAUCCCUAAAUGGGCAUAUGGAGACUAUCAUAACUGACACAAGGUUUGAGGAUGACAGUUCCGUAAGUGCUUGAGAGUGUGUUCUCUUUUGUAAAGUUAAAUAGUCCUCUAAAACAUUGUUUACAAUGAUACUUUGUCUAGCAAAUCCUUUUUCCACCAUAACCAGCAUAAAGUUGAACUCCAUUCCAUCCAUAUUCAGAUAUUCCAUCAAUAUCUGAAUUAUCCAUAUUAUAAAUGAGGGUAUACAAUUAUUGCAGUUUCAUGCAAACAAAAUGCUCCUUCCUCUCCCAGCCAGAUAAACACACACCACACAGGUGACCGCUGUCACACUGGACAGGCCUGCAAGGCCCCCACACUGGGAGUGUGUCCUCACCCACUCUCUCCCCUUUCCACGGUCUACUUACACACUCCUUCUCAACCCUCCCUGCUCCUGCCAGCCCAGCUCACUGACAAUUUCCACUUUAUGGUCUAAAGAUGAAAAAAUGUUAAUUGAGGGAAGGGCUCUACCAUCAAAACUGGGAAUACUCCACUGCAUAGCAAAGAUCAUUUCUUGGAAUUAGUCACUUAAAUGUUUACAAGAAACAAUUAUCAAGUGUCCCAGACUGAUUCAUUAACAUCAUUAAUGAAAGAAUUGCUAAGAGUUUCUGUUUUUUGGUUUAUUUUAAUCCUACUACGUAAACUUUUUUUUUGGCACCACUCCAACAAAAUUCCACCCAACGAUUAAAGGAGGUAAAGAUUCAUAAAGCAAAACUGUUACUGAAAGUUAACCUUGCCAGGGUACAUUGCAAACCCAACUUAGACACAAUCCUUAUAUGAUGCAAAAGCCGUCCUAACAAAACACAAAGAAAACAAUUAGUGCUAUUGCCAAUGCCUCAUAAUUUUGGACAGUGAGGAAGAAGUGCUAACUGAUUUGUCUUUUGCUGUUUGUGGGAUAAAAUAUAUAAAUGAAAAUGCCCCUGCUGUCCCAGAAUGAGGAAGACAUAAUGAACUCUGGCUUUCCAGAUUAUUCUGCCACAUCUGAAGGUUUGCAAAUAAACAAAUUAAAUAGCUCUUGUCUGGUUUUUCUAGUCAACUUUCAUUACUGUAAGGAUGGAUGCAGCAAGAUAAAUGUUUCCUUUUUACUUCAGUACUGAAAGAAACACAAGUUUUCCUGCUGCCUUUUAUGUUUAAGCUCUGAGGUCCACAGCCUAUUCUUAUUCACCAACUGGAAACGAUUUGUCUGCAAUGGCCAGUUUGAUGUUUUCUACUCAACUCCCAAAGUCCCAAUUUGAAGUCGUUCUCUUCCACUUAAGGAGACAUUUCAUUUUUCCUUUAAUUUAAAAAAAUGUUCUGAAUGUGAAAUGACAUUACAAGGACUACUAGGUUGCUUAAUAUAAAUUCCGUGUGUGUGACACUCUUCAGGCUGUGUCAGCAGACAAGGUCGGUUCAGCUAAACAAGCUGGCAAGCAGCCACUUGGGGGAAAAGUUUUAAGCAUGCUACAUGUGUCCAAGCCAAAGUCAGACCCGAAAUCUAACGUGAGUGUAAGAAAUACUUGAUCUUAAAAUGGCCCAUGGAAUUUAAUCUUGUUAAGCAAAUCUGAAGCGGGCAGUUAUCCAUGAUGACCCAAUGGAAAGUCCUAGAAAAAAAAUCUUAAACUGAGUGACCUUGUCCAGUUCAAGACAUUCUGCCUCUCUUAGCAUCAUUACUGGCUGGGACUGGAAAACAGAGCCUGUUCUCUCCACUGUUUCCCCCAUUCCAGCCACCAAAUACUCAAGGUUUCUUCAGUAAAAUACCAGGGUAAGAAUUCACAGUCCAAACAGCAAGCAUUUCUCCACAGAUCCUUAAUAUGGUAGGAAGAUUGAUUCUCAAGGAAACCCUAUCUAGGAACAUGGUAUGAAAUAAAGCAAUUCCCAAUCAUUCAUUUAUGAGGGGCCAAUGGAGGGAUCUCACAGAUAACUGAAAUCUACAGGACUCUUCUGUUUUAGCCAUUAGUUUGCAAAAUAAAUAUUUAAUCCAAGAUCUACUGAAGAAUAAAAUAAGUGUCCACUCUUGUGGAGUUAAGGACUGUGAACUAACCCAAAGGGAGAUAAUAGGAGAUUCCAGGCCAGGCAAGAAUCCCAAAUAACAUACAAACGGAAUGAUCAGUCAUCACUCAAGGGAUGGCUGGAAUAGUCCAACUAAAUCUUAUUCUGAUAGUCCUACAGAAGCAGCACUUUGACAGUCAUGAAUAAAAGUGUUCUUGAGUAUUAUAUAAGGAAUGAUACAAAAAUCAACUCCAUUUGGCCAUGAGAAGUAGUCUCUCCUAUUCAUGUACCCUUAACAUAAAAUUUGCUUACAUAAAAGAGAAAAAGCAAACCAAUCAUCUAUAUAAAAUAGAGAAGAAACUGGUAAAUGAUAUCGUUAUCCUGACCAGAAAAUUAAAUAAAAAGAAUACUGACCCUCCACUCUUGAGAUGAGAUGGUAAAGAUGUUGUUCCUUUGAACAUUUCUUGCUCCUUUAUUUCACUGAAGCCUCCAUCAUCAGUUAGCUGAAGUGGGUGACUCUUUAAGUGGCAAAUAGCAUUUGAUUUUGUUAAAUAAAUCCCAUUUAUUUUCACCAUAGAGUCCCCCAUCAUAACUGUUUC
RNAcentral lists this long non-coding RNA (5003 nucleotides) under Pan troglodytes (chimpanzee). Its description in RNAcentral is "long non-coding RNA NONPTRT015278". The record is from RNAcentral. Lineage: Eukaryota; Metazoa; Chordata; Mammalia; Primates; Hominidae.